UGGGGAAUAUUGCACAAUGGGCGCAAGCCUGAUGCAGCCAUGCCGCGUGUAUGAAGAAGGCCUUCGGGUUGUAAAGUACUUUCAGCGGGGAGGAAGGGAGUAAAGUUAAUACCUUUGCCCAUUGACGUUACCCGCAGAAGAAGCACCGGCUAACUCCGUGCCAGCAGCCGCGGUAAUACGGAGGGUGCAAGCGUUAAUCGGAAUUACUGGGCGUAAAGCGCACGCAGGCGGUUUGUUAAGUCAGAUGUGAAAUCCCCGGGCUCAACCUGGGAACUGCAUCUGAUACUGGCAAGCUUGAGUCUCGUAGAGGGGGGUAGAAUUCCAGGUGGAGCGGUGAAAUGCGUAGAGAUCUGGAGGAAUACCGGUGGCGAAGGCGGCCCCCUGGACGAAGACUGACGCUCAGGUGCGAAAGCGUGGGGAGCAAACAGG
This 429-nucleotide ribosomal RNA is filed under the name Chloroflexota bacterium. Its description in RNAcentral is "Chloroflexi bacterium partial 16S ribosomal RNA". It matches the Rfam family "Bacterial small subunit ribosomal RNA", at positions 355 to 776 of the family's 1533-position model. The record is from RNAcentral. Lineage: Bacteria; Bacillati; Chloroflexota.